Molecule: ribosomal RNA, 898 nt
Filed under: uncultured bacterium
Lineage: Bacteria
Description: bacterial SSU rRNA
Rfam family: Bacterial small subunit ribosomal RNA
Source: RNAcentral
CAGUCGAGGGGUAUAGUUCUUCGGAACUAGAGACCGGCGCACGGGUGCGUAACGCGUAUGCAAUCUACCUUUUACAGAGGGAUAGCCCAGAGAAAUUUGGAUUAAUACCUCAUAGUAUAUAGCCCUGGCAUCAGGAUUAUAUUAAAGUCACAACGGUAAAAGAUGAGCAUGCGUCCCAUUAGCUAGUUGGUAAGGUAACGGCUUACCAAGGCUACGAUGGGUAGGGGUCCUGAGAGGGAGAUCCCCCACACUGGUACUGAGACACGGACCAGACUCCUACGGGAGGCAGCAGUGAGGAAUAUUGGACAAUGGGCGCAAGCCUGAUCCAGCCAUGCCGCGUGCAGGAUGACGGUCCUAUGGAUUGUAAACUGCUUUUAUACGAGAAGAAACACUCCUUCGUGAAGGAGCUUGACGGUAUCGUAAGAAUAAGGAUCGGCUAACUCCGUGCCAGCAGCCGCGGUAAUACGGAGGAUCCAAGCGUUAUCCGGAAUCAUUGGGUUUAAAGGGUCCGUAGGCGGUUUAAUAAGUCAGUGGUGAAAGCCCAUCGCUCAACGGUGGAACGGCCAUUGAUACUGUUAGACUUGAAUUAUUAGGAAGUAACUAGAAUAUGUAGUGUAGCGGUGAAAUGCUUAGAGAUUACAUGGAAUACCAAUUGCGAAGGCAGGUUACUACUAAUUGAUUGACGCUGAUGGACGAAAGCGUGGGUAGCGAACAGGAUUAGAUACCCUGGUAGUCCACGCCGUAAACGAUGGAUACUAGCUGUUGGAAGCAAUUUCAGUGGCUAAGCGAAAGUGAUAAGUAUCCCACCUGGGGAGUACGUUCGCAAGAAUGAAACUCAAAGGAAUUGACGGGGGCCCGCACAAGCGGUGGAGCAUGUGGUUUAAUUCGAUGAUACGCG